Molecule: ribosomal RNA, 407 nt
Filed under: uncultured bacterium
Lineage: Bacteria
Description: partial 16S ribosomal RNA
Rfam family: Bacterial small subunit ribosomal RNA
Source: RNAcentral
UGGGGAAUAUUGCACAAUGGGCGAAAGCCUGAUGCAGCAACGCCGCGUGAGGGAUGACGGCCUUCGGGUUGUAAACCUCUUUUAGUAGGGAAGAAGCGAAAGUGACGGUACCUGCAGAAAAAGCACCGGCUAACUACGUGCCAGCAGCCGCGGUAAUACGUAGGGUGCAAGCGUUGUCCGGAAUUAUUGGGCGUAAAGAGCUCGUAGGCGGUUUGUCGCGUCUGCUAUGAAAUCCCGAGGCUCAACCUCGGGUCUGCAGUGGGUACGGGCAGACUAGAGUGUGGUAGGGGAGAUUGGAAUUCCUGGUGUAGCGGUGGAAUGCGCAGAUAUCAGGAGGAACACCGAUGGCGAAGGCAGAUCUCUGGGCCAUUACUGACGCUGAGGAGCGAAAGCAUGGGGAGCGAACA